AACGAACGCUGGCGGCAUGCCUAACACAUGCAAGUCGAACGAGACCUUCGGGUCUAGUGGCGCACGGGUGCGUAACGCCUGGGAACCUGCCCUUAGGUUCGGUAUAACUCCCCGAAAGGUGUGCUAAUACCGCUUAAUGUCUUCGGACCAAAGAUUUAUCGCCUUUGGAUGGGCCCGCGUUGGAUUAGCUAGUUGGUAGGGUACAAGCCUACCAAGGCGACGAUCCAUAGCUGGUCUGAGAGGAUGAUCAGCCACACUGGGACUGAGACACGGCCCAGACUCCUACGGGAGGCAGCAGUGGGGAAUAUUGGACAAUGGGCGAAAGCCUGAUCCAGCAAUGCCGCGUGAGUGAUGAAGGCCUUAGGGUUGUAAAGCUCUUUUACCCGGGAUGAUAAUGACAGUACCGGGAGAAUAAGCUCCGGCUAACUCCGUG
RNAcentral lists this ribosomal RNA (433 nucleotides) under uncultured bacterium. Its description in RNAcentral is "partial 16S ribosomal RNA". It matches the Rfam family "Bacterial small subunit ribosomal RNA", at positions 29 to 507 of the family's 1533-position model. The record is from RNAcentral.